AAUUUACCUAAUUAAAACCAUUUUAAUAACCAAUGAACAUAUUAAGUAUUAUUUGGUAAUUGAUAAAAGUAGACAAGAAGUUGGAUUUAGUUCUGUAACAUUUUUGUGAUUUUAUUUUUAUAGGUUGGAAGUGCGACAGGAAGAAAAGUUUCAUCUCUGAAAACACAGGUUUGCAAUAAUAUAUUUUAUCUUUAAAUCAUAAUUGAGGUAUAGGCAAUUAAGUAUUUAGUCUGUCCAAAAGCUCAGUUUCUAUAUCACUGUCACAAUUCAUAAACUAUUGACAUUUCUUGGUGUCUGUCAUCUCUGAACUUGUUGAAAAUUCUCAUUUGAAACCACAGAAAGUUACAGAUAAGGUAAAUGGUGGGGUCUAAAUUGAAAUUGUUUUAAUUUUUCAUCCUUUGCCAAAAUGUAGUUUAAAUUAUACUUUCUUUAAUAAUACAUGCAUAAGAAAGAUUUUGGGUAUCAGGGCUUUUUUCAAGCCAUUGAUUACUCAGAAUUGCCCGACUUUAUAUACAUCAUACAUGAAAAAAACCCAAAAACAUGAACAUUUUGUGUCAAAGGAAGAGAACAAGACGAUAGAAUUAAAAAAAAAAAAAAAAAACACUCUUAUAAUGUGAUUUCUGAAAAUAAGAUAAAAAAGGAGUUCACAGAACUCGUGUUCCUGCUACAAAACAAUACAGGUAAAUAUCUAACACAUACCUCCACAAAAGUUACAUGAUCUGAGUUAUCUCCCCUUAUGUGACAUUGUUGAAAAAAACUGAAUCAUUCAAAAAAUAUUCUGUAUUUGCUAAAACAGUUUAAAAUAAGAAAACACAUAUAAUUUUCUUAUUUAGAUGAAAGGUCUUAAGGAAUCAUCUACCCUCAAAAUUACAAGAAUUUCUAAAUAGACCAAUGGUAUUUUGCUAUAUAACAAUCCAAUACAGCAGAAGACACCCAAUCUACCUUAAUCCUGCCUGAGUUUUCCUUUAAAUGUAUAAUUUAUUAAAGAAGGAGGUGUGAUAAGAGCUAUAUUUUUUAUUGCUUCUAAAUUUUCAAAAGGGAAAGUUCCUUAAUCUUUUAAAAAAUCUUGGUGGUUCUAUAUAUAUAUAUUGAUUUUAUAAAUUGUUAGUUUUGUGUCACUGUGAACAUGUUGAAAUUGUCAGAAUUGACCAUAAAUAUCCAUUUUGCACAAAUUGAAAAAAACUAGUUCUACUGGCCCAUAGCCAUACCCAACAAAUAUAAGCAAAUAAAUAUUUUAGGUCAAUGGAAUUUGCCUGACAGCACUUAAAGUUACCCUUUGGAUCAAAAGGUUGUGUAUCGCUAUGCUACGAGAAUGUUUUCUAUAGAUUAUUCCAAAAGUAAACCAAAGACAUGCAUAGUAAGGGAAAUCUGUGUUAUUUUGGGACUUUUAUAGCCGAAUAUUUCCGUACAAUGCAUAUUGUUGCUUACAUCCACUUCAUUUGAACUAGUUGUCUCAUUGGCAAUUAUACCACAUCUCACCUUAGUGACCUCUCAGUAAUUUUGUAUCAGUAUUAAUUUGAUAUUAGAAGAAAAAAAUAGAAUUUAAAGGUUUUAUGCUAAUAAAUCUGCUAAAAGUAAAACUUUUGGAAGUUUGAAAUAUAGAAAAAAAGUCUGACACAAAUAUGAAAAGAAGGAUGUUAGAACUUAGAACCACGUCCUAUCAUUUAAGGAAGUUUGUUCACCUCUAAAUGUCUUGGGUUUUUUUGCCAUUGGGUUGUUUUCUUAUUGUAUCUCUUUUUUUAUUCAAAUGUACAUUCUAAUUAUAGAAGGUGUGGUUAAUAUGGUCUGUGUAACUGGAAAAUGAUGUCAAACUAUAUAUAAACCAGAACUAUAAUUAAAUUACAACUGAUUUAAUUGUUUGUACGAAAAAUUGGAAACAUUUUAAGAAAUGCAGAUUUAUUUUCAGCAUUCAGACUUUUGAAAUUGAAAUUGAAAUUCUGGUUAAUUUUGGCAUAAAAUUACAACUAAAAAGAUAGUGAUUUCAUUAAAUUAUGCUGACAAGUGAAAUCUUUAAUUGAUCUUAAAGCUAGAUUGAUUUAAAGUAUAUUUUUUUCUUAAGAAAUUCUACUUUUAAAAUUUGCACUCUAGAAUCACCUAGUCAACUGUAAAAACAGCUGAUUAAGGUAAACAUUGGAAUAAAGUCAAAAGAAAAAUCCCUAAUUCUAUAUUCAAACUGUAAAAAACAAAGAAAAUCCAAGUCAUACUUGAGCUUGAUCCAAAAAUUUUACGUAAAAAUGAUUACAUUCCUCAAAUUUAGAAAUAAGUUCCCCUAAUGCAAAGCUUCAAGAUUUUUUAUUACGAGAGGGGAAAAAAGACUAGGCCAAGAGAAAAAAUGGAAUAUAAUUGAAAAUUCCACAGACAAUUGGAUAAUUUGGCAAUUUGCAUUAUUUUAAGGGCAAUUUAAUAGCAUAUCAAUCAUUGUUUCAGAUCUUAAAUGUAUUUACUUUUUCAAAAUUUUAUAUUACUUAACUAAUUUCAAUAAAUUUAGAAAAUGAAAAGAAUACAAAUUCUAAUUUUGCUUAGCCUGCAGGACAAAUUCCUGUAGGUCUUCGUGAUGAAAUUCUUUAACCUAAUAUGAUAAAUCUUUAAAGUGGAUUAUCAGCUUAGACCAUAUUAAACAAAUUCUUUGGUCAAUCUUGAACAAAAGUCUCAGCCAAGUGUUGUGUAAACAAAUGAAUGUGGAUUAAAAAGAGGCACACGGUCAUUUCAACUUUUUAAUGUGCAGGGUUGGACUUUCGAUAAUCCAGAUUAAAAAGUGGACCACACGCAUGUCUUAAAAGGAUGCAUUCUUUUCUUUUAUUAUUAACUGGUGCAAAGUUUGAAUUUAUUAUUAGAUCUAUGCUGCAAUAAGAUAAACUAAAUCAUACAUGUAAGAAGGGUCAUAACCUGUGUCACAUGAUAUUUCAUUGGUUUCUUGUAAUUUCAUGCGACUUUUCGAGAAAUUUGUUCAGAAAAUGGUUUUCUUUUUUAGAGCAGUAACAGAUUUUGUGGAAUGAAUGAAGAAAAAGAACUCAGACUUUAACAGAGAUAUAGGUGUGUAAUAAAUGUAUUUAGAGACUUAUAAGUUACUAAGGUGCAAAUCAUUUUAUAAAUAUUUAAACAGAACUUUGUUUUUAGUUACGGUAGGAGUGCAAUUUCAAAGCAGAGCAUGCAUACCUAUAUCUAUAAUUGGAAAAAAAAGAAGAAAAAGAAAAUCCAUUAAUUGAGUAUUUACAAAAUAAACUGCAAGUAUUUUUUUCAUAUUUUCAAUUUUAAAAAUUCUUUUAUACAGAGUCAAAGAUAUAUUUAAUGGUUUGUGCCUUAGUAUGUUUCUUUUACAUGAAUUUAAGUGAUAAUACGAAGUCCUAAUUAUUAUAACCCCAACUUACUGAUCCCUUUGCAUAUAGUUUCCUGGACAACAUUCUUAACUAAAGCCUUGGGUUUUGUCAAAAACAAAGUUGUUGGGUUUGGAAAUCUUAUUUGUCACUCAGUAAAUGAAUCAUAACCCAACUUUUAGAAAGUUUAGUAUUUCAAUUUUGAGAAUCCCUUCUAUUUUAUUUUUUUAUGAUGGUGAUUAAUUAAGGUUUCCUUUGCCCAAGAUUGGUUAUUCAUUUGCCUUGAUAUUGAGUUAAAAUAGGGAUAAGAAUUUGUCAAACCUUAACACUCUUCCACUGUUCUUUUUUUUAAUAACAAAGAAUUUUCUACUUGACAAUUUCGCAAAAGAAAGUAAAGAGAGAUUACUUACGGAAUUUCUAAAUUUGACAAUUAAAAUUAUGUUUUUUAAAUUUGUUUAAUUUGUUUACAAUAGCUAAGAAACUACUUAUCAGCAAUAUUAAGUCUGCUGAGUCAGCCAAAUAUUAUAAGAGUCCUGGUUUAUCAGUAAUAAUGGCUUAAUGCAAAGAUUCUUUAAAAUUAUGCAAAAAUAAUUCUAUUUGUUUGAGGGAUAAGGCCUAAAGGGAAUUGAUCAGGACCAAAGAACUUAAACCAUUAUUCAAACAUGAUUUGGUCGAAAUAUUUGUGUAACAAACAAUCAGACUUGCCGUUAUAAGCAAUGGGUAAGGGUAUUAGCUACAUAAUUGUAUAUAUUGCUUAAUAAGCAAAUAUUUUAUGGUUUUUAAAAAUGAUAGCCGCAUAAUUUUUAUUGAAAUACCUGCCCAAUGAACAAAGAACGGAAUUUGAGUUCAUUAUAUCUUCAUUUACAUUUUGGUUAUAGUUAGAACUAUAAAUUGACCCAGUUUAAAAGGUCAGUGGUAUGGAAAAGGGCACAUCAAUCCCAUCCCAUUAUCUAUGGCUCUUUAAAACAAUUCAUCACACGUUGGCUUUGUAAAGGCUUGGUAUUUAAGGACACAAUUGAAAAAUUCUUUUAUAAUUCAGGCACUAAUUUACAUUGUUGUGUCUUCAUGGUGAUGAAACAUACUUAAAAUUCUGUGCUAUUUAGAAACCUUUUAAUAAGACGUCACUGUGAUUACCCCUUCAAAACUAUGCUAAUCACAGGAAAAGAUAUUUCGUUCGUUGUCCGUUUACCAACUCUACCUGUGUAAGUACAUGUAAAACUUUUUUUACUGUGAGAUUGUCAUAAACUUGACAUAUUCAUAUGAUUUGUUGUCAUUUAUUUAGGUCAUGUCAACUCCUUCAAAGAAAGUAAAAAGUCUUAUUGCAUAUUUAUAAAGCUUUUUAUAAUGGAAGCAAAAACAUUUUAUAUUUGCAUAAAGUAUAAUUUAACUUUCUAGUAAUGCUGUAUUUUCUUUUUCAGUUAUUUUUUGUUAUACAAUUCAAUUUUUCAUUUCAAUCUUUUUAUGGACUUUUGCUAAAAUAUGCUUAGGAAAUAAUAUCUAUAGGGGGGUCGAUCUAUAGUUAGUAAUUAAGGUGGCUGUUUGGAAAUACAUUUAAAAUUUUAAGUUGUUUGAAAAUGAAAUCUUAGUUUGUAUCAUAUUAAAAAGUUUACUUUCUAAACAGCAACAGGUUAAGAAGAAGAAAUAUAAUCUAUGUGUUGUAAUUUAUGAUCUUUACUCAAAAAUACAAUGCAACUUUAAAAUGGUGUCGGCAUACACAUGUUGCAACAAAGGACAUGUACCAUUCAUACAAUUUUAAGAUUACAAACAGUGUCACUUCUCCAAUUCUAAAGGAAUUUUGUUAAGGAAUUUUGUAACUUAAAUCUUGUAUAGAAUUUAGCCUAAUUUAUAAGUUGCAAUGUACCUAUCAUGUUAGUGAUACUCAGUACAAGCACAGACAUCACUUACAGUUAAAAUACACUAAUCCCAUUAAGUCUUUUCAAAUUCUUAAGAAUUUUAUAUGUAGGGAGUACUAUUUCAUUUUCAGAAGUCGUUAAAAACCUAAAUAUUUUAUUAUCCCUGAAAAUAAAUAAAAAACAAUGCAGUGAGGUCAAUCAAAAACAUUAUACGACUGCAAAUUUACAUAUCUUUAUUUAUAUCUACCCAUUCCAUCCCUUGCUUUUGAAAUGAAUUUAUAAAAUUUUCUUGAAAUCUAAUUAAAAAAUUGCAGAGACAUAUUUUAUUAUGUUAGAUCUCUUGGUGACCAUUUGUAGCUCCUCUGUCUUUUCCCCUUAUUUCUUCAGUCUCUGUGAGGAGAAUAAUAAGUAAAUGUCAGUAAAAAAACUACACACAAACAUGAAUAUCAGAAAUGGAUAUUAAUAGCACUUUAAACUUUGUCUGACCUGAUUACUGCACAUAUGCACCCAGUGAGGUGAUGCUGCACAAUUUUGUAUGCUAAGGUGCAAAAGAUAUGUCAAGUAUGUAGCCCUGCAACAACAAUUAUUUUCAUUCACUGAAUUCUUUUUGGGUGUGUCUGUCUACAUUUCAACAAAAUCUUUGAAAUAUAAUUAAUAUUUGUUGCUUUUAUUUAUAAUGGUAUAAUUAUGGCUAAAUAAAUGUUUAGCUUUAUAAUUCCAUACUAAAACUUCAGCUAGUUUUAUGCAUCUAUUAGGUUCAACUGUUUUUGCUUCAGUAUCAUUUAUUUUAAAAGACGUCUCUUCCUAUUGAAUACAAAAAUGAAUUAACUAAUGUGUUCCCCAAGCCCCAUGUGAAAAUGUGCAAAAGUGAAAUGUAUAUUGAUUUGUGAGAUUUAAAGUUGAAUGAAGUUUAAGAUAGAACUUUUCAUGUAAGAAAUUCUCAAAGGUUCUGGCAAUAGAAAGUGUAGUUGAACAUUUUUUGAUAGCAUCAUGUGUAUGCAACAUUUCCAGAAAUCAUUAUAAUUAGUGUCUCACUUUAGUUCAUUGUGUCAAUAGUUCAGCCAUGGCAAUCAUAAAUGUACAAAAAGAUUUCAGAAUUUACAGUACAUGCAUAGUAUUAAAGAUGCUUGUGUUCUUACUUUGGCAGUGUAAAAUUUUAGUUCUAUUUUAUAUGAUUUCUAAAAACUUUAUUCAAUUCAUUCAUAACUGAAUAGUAAAUCCUUUUUUUUUGCUACCUGAUGUUAGCUUAUAAAAUAUCUAUGCAAAGUAAAAAAAAUUAUAACAGUUAAAAAUACUCUAUUUGCACUUAAUUUUUGAAGUCUCAACUUUUCUCAAAUUCAUUGAUUAUAUUCUGUUGACUGAAAAACGGAAAUCAGUGAAUAGAAUAUUUAGAGCUUAAAGUUAAUCUUUGACCUUUAAUGGAUUUUUUUUGGUAAACCACAAGAACCUGACAAUAAGUGUUUUUUGUCGGCAGAGUUUGGAGGGAUCCUAUUGAUGAGCAAGGAAGCGAGUUAAAUCUGACUUACAAUCUUACCUACAAUCUCUCACGAUUAUUAAGUAGAUAAACGCUGUCAUGUGAUUAAAUUUUUGAAACAUGAAUGAAAAAAUAUAAUAUAUUUUCAAAUUUUAUGAAUGGAAAUGAAACUUAUUUACAUAAAUUUUCAUUCAUAAGUUUCAAAGUUUAUUGACAUCGAUUCAGUUAAUUGCCGACUUAUUUUCCUAAAAAAAGAAAGUAAACUUUGUUUGGAAAUACAAAAAGCUUGUAUAAUCUAGUCAAAUAUGUUAUAAUUAUUCAAAUACAAUUCAAACUUUUUUCAAUAUAUUUUUUUUUAGCGGUUUAAAUGUAGUUUUAUUUGAGAGAAAACAAAGAAGUAUAUGUAGUACUUUGUAUUUUAGAAGAAAAGUAGUUCAGGUUUAAUUUAUACAAAAUAGAUGUAAUAAAUUUACAUAUAACAAACAAAAAACAUUUUUCCUGUCUUCAACAAAAAGUAGAGUAAUUAAUAUUCAGAAUAAUACAUAUAUCACAAACUUCUUUCUUAUUUUAAAUCAUAUUCUAUUAUAACAUUUCUUUUUUUUGUACACCUAAAGGUAUUUUUUUAAGUUUUGCCAGCCAUGAAAUAAAAUUUAAAUCUCGUCUGCUAUUAAGCUGUUUUAAAAUUUAAAUAUAUUUUCUAAACUCAUUCAUCUUCUCUUGUUGAUAAAAUUGAGUUGAUGUUUUGUAUAAAAGGAAUGUAAAGUAUUUGUGUCAGUGGAACAUGACAUGAGAACAGGUAAAUGUAGGAGUUUAGACGGGAAUAUCCAGGGAAAGUUACUUGGUUCUUAAAGCGAGCACGGUACAGGUAAUACAAAUGCAGGUAUUUAAAUUAUUUUCUUUUUUUCUAAAUAUAUUACAUUUUCCAAAAAAUAAUUGUUCCUAAGAAUUUAUUUUGAAUAAUUUGAAAAUAUCAAAAAUGAAAAAAAUGUACUUGCAUGGUGUGAAAUAAAUGUUUCCCCCCAUUUUUUGCAUAAAUUGUAAUAUGAGGAGUUAUUUCCCCUAAUGGGAAAUUUAUACUGUAUGCAUUUAGCUGUUGCUAAAUUCUUUUUUGCAUUAUUUAGUUAUUGAAUUUUGCAUCUUAAAGUCAUCCAUUCUUGACAAAUAUAUUUAUGUUUUAUAAUUGAUUUUAGUAUAAAAUUUAUGAAUAGCACUGAAAAUUUCAAUUUAUGAAAAAAUAAUGUUGCAAUUAAAAUAGUUUUUAUCUCUAUUUUAAUGUAACACUAAAUUAAGGAAAAAUUGAAAAAAAAAUUUAAGAUUAAUAAUGUGUGAAAGACAUGUAUUUAAGAGAGGUGUUACUUAUAAAUAAUAAUGCAUUGGAUGUUUUUAUUAUAUAAUAUGCAGAUCAACAGUAUUCAAUUGUAAAAAAUGUGAAUAUGAGAUUGCAAUAGGUAUAUAUAUUCUGUUUAGAAACCAAGUACUGUAUAUGUUAAGGUCUGAACGAGGUCUAUAUAUAUCUAUGUGUGUGUGAGAAAAAGAAAAAGUGUGAUUUGAUAUGUGAAGAUCAAAAGUAGGUGACAAGUGGGUGUAAACUGACCUGUUCCCAACAUGUUUAUUCUGGGAGUAUAAAACAUCUAAUGAUUCAUUACCUACAUGACAAGUAAAAGGCAACAUCUAUCAACUCAAUGUGAAAGGACAUAUUUCUCAGGUUUCUAGGUAAAAAUAUACACCUUGGGAAUAUAUGAAUAAUCUUAAUGAAAGGCAAAUAUAAAAUUCAGAAAUUAUAUUAAUGGGUGAGUGGUAUGGAAAUUCUAAAUUAGGAUUUUAAUAUAAAUACCUACCAUUUAUUUGACUGAUAUAAGUCCCAGUGGAUUUCUUUAGUUGGUCUCCUUGACUGAUAUAAGUCCCAGUGGAUUUCUUUAGUUGGUCUCCUUGACUGAUAUAAGUCCCAGUGGAUUUCUUUAGUUGGUCUCCUUGACUGAUUUAAGAAGAAAGACAUUUUUUUCUGAAUAUACCAUGUGACAACAAUCUUAUUCAAAAUCUGAAAUCUUUAAAUUUCUGUAUAUUUAAGCCGAACUGAAAUAUGGAAUUUUACCAGUUAUGUAUUAGAUUUGAUAAAGAGUUACUAGUAAACUGCUCACAAAGUCUCUUUUAAUCUAGAUAUAUAUUUGAUGUUUACCAUUCUGAAAUCAAAAGAAAUGGCCCCCAUUGAAUGAACAAGAAUUGGAUUAUUGAAUUAAUUCAUUCAUAAAACUAUCACAAGUCUAUAACACUACUGGUGGACUAUUAGUCACCAUGGUUACCAUACACACAAUAGCCAAUGUUUUGGUAUGGUUUAAUUUUGUUAGACUAUAAUAUAAGGUGUAGAAAUAGUAGAGUAGCAUCUUCCAAUGUGACCUUCAUUCUUUUUUUGGCUGUUUUAUUUAGUAAGAUUGAUAAUUGAUGUUCACAAAUAUUUUAUAUAUUUUACUUCCAAAAAUUUUGGUUUUAAGAAUAACUGGCGGAAGAUAUUCAAAGUUAUGGAUCUUAGUUUUUCAAAAGCAAGCAAGGGGCCUCUGGUUCAACUCCUGAUGUUCCAGCAGCAUUUGGCUAACAGUGUAUCAUUAAUUGAUUUACUGAAAAGCUAAAUUCAAAAUGAUUACCAGAAGUAGAAAACAGUGGAAAUACUGUGAUGCAAAAAGUUAUGUUUAAGAAUGCUUGUUUUAGAACCAUUCUUAGUCUAUAAUUUAAUAUGUUUGAACUUUUAACUUCUGUUCAAGAUUUUUAUACAACACAGGAUAUAGUUCAUUAUAGACAAAUUACAAUGUAUAUAUAAGUAAUAUAGGUCAGACUUUAUGUCACUUUUUUGAAGAGAAAUUACCACAGAACAACCUGUUAAAAUAGUUUUGGUUUCAGAUGGAAAUCUAAUUUAACCAGAUCAAUGAAGCUGUACUUAUACACAUAAACUUAAUGUUCCUAACAAUAAUUAUUAUUUAUUUGAGGCGUUUAGCUAAGAAUGCAGAUUAUGCUAUGUUUUUUUCCAACAUGAGUUUUUAUUAAGGAUAAUUGUAGUGUUUGAUGAGUUUUGUUCCCACAUGUAUUGAAUGGCUCGUAGACAGCCCUACUUCCGGCUUCUGUGCAGUAAUGAGGCAUUACCCUAACAUCUAUUACUGAUAAAAGAUAUUUUUUGUUCAAUAACUAAUGCAGAUUUUUGUUUAAGAACAGAUAUAUGUAUUUCAGGUACAAACCACUGUGCAAUGAAUUUACAGACAGGCGUUGGCUAAAGAUAUCAAAAAGGUAUUCAUUAGUUAUAAGGAAAAAAAUCUUCAAAGAUAAUUUUUUCUAUUGUCUUUAGAAACUUUUCAGAGCCUGAUAUUUACACAUUGUUGAAUUUUGUACAUUAGUAAAGUUUUUCUUUAUAAACUUGGAUAUAUUUCAAACACUUUGGAAUCUAUCAGCAAUAAGUUUUUUUUGAUACAGAAUAAUGGCAACAUGUAGAAUCUUAUAAUUUAUAUGCAUUACAUCUGUUGAUCUAUUAAUUCUAUUAAACAGAUCUUUUACUCAGUUGUAUGGCUUUUUUUGUGUAAUUUUAUUGUCAUCUUAUUUAUUUUUCGUUUUUUGCCCAUCUGAGCUAGAGUUCUCAUCGGAUGUUACAUAAAAAAAACGCUGAAUGACAGUAUUUCAACCACACAAUUUUUAGUUAAGAUUUGUCACAUUUAGUAUCAUAAUGUUUUUAAUCUAUUCAUUGAAAUAUGUGUGACAAGGUUUUGAUAAAAAGUUAUUUAUACUGGAAUUUUGCCAUUUCGUUGGUCAAUAAACUCAAUAUUAUUUAUGAUACCCUAUGAUGGUAUACUGAUAGUUGGGUGAUGGCCAGAAUAGGUUUCUCUCAACUGAUGUGUCCAAAAUCAGGGUCAAAAAUAUAACUUUGUUCAAGUUGGUACAUUUGAUAGUUGUUCAAGUACUUAUUUAUACAGUUGCUAAAAGGUAUAAUAAAUUAAAUCAUUAAUUAUCUUUUUACAGCUUAGUUGGCUAAUUUUGUGUCAUCUGUUUUUUGAAACAUUCAACUGAAAAUUAGGAGAUGACAAUUUUUCAUUGGAGAAUUUGCAGGCAUCAAUUGGUGAUCUGAUGGUUGCAGAUUUUGUUACAAUCCUCAAAUAAAAAAAAAAUGGUGCCCUCAAAUCUUUUAAUGCAUUACUGUUAUUUCAAUUCUAAUGCAAUCGUAAAAACACCACUUAAUCAUUAAUUUUGAAACCAGUCACACUGUGUCUUGACUUGUGCACAAUUCGAGCCCACACAUAGGCGGAUACAGGGGGCCCUGGGGGCCCAGGCCUCUUUUCAUGGGAAAAAUUUGGUUGAUUAUAUAGGGAAUCAUUGAAGCAUGACUGGAGCGGGCCCCCCGUAGGUCAGUCAGCGGGCGCCCUUGGAAAAGUUCUGGAUCCGCCACUGCCACAACUAUAAGGCAAAAUCUUUUGUUUAGUCUCCAUAUAGAUGAGCUACAGAUACUUUUAGCUGCUUGAAUAAAAAAGUUGUCCUUAGAUCAGACAAAUCGCCUUACAUAGACGUAUUAAAAUCAUUAAGUGGAUGUAAUAUCUUGUAUAGCCAUGUUAGUUGUUUCAAAGAUAAAAGGGAAGGGAAUGAACGCUUUAUGUGCAAAAGCCUUGAAAAUAUAUUGUGAAUUCAGACAUUGCUGUGUGCAUUCAAUAUUGGAAUUGUUGCUAAAGAAUUAAAUUGUAAAGUCAGUUAAUGAAAUAAGGAAAUGUUGCAUACAAAUAAUCAUGAUCAGAAUUUAAAAUGUAAGUUCCAAACUAAUCCUAUCAUAUUUGGUUACAAAACAUUCUUUAGUAGUACAGGAUGAAACCUUUUUUUUACACCAGAGUACAGAUGUACUUCAUCAUUGUAAGUCAUAAAUAAUUUCUCAGGGUAUUGACCUCCAUUAAUAUACAAAAUGUAUACAUUCUCAGCUCAAAGGAAAUCCAAAUUGUUUACACAAUGUGAGGAGAAGCAUUGUUUUAAUUGAAGCAGAUUGGUCAUAUAUAUCAUUGUCAGAUAUAUUGUGGGGGUUGCUGUCAGUUGCACAUUAUUCAUAAUUUGUGGAAUCAAAAACGUUUUUUGUUCAGUAGGGGAUCCAGAAGGGAGGUUCCAAGGGUUUGACCUCCCCCCCCCCUUUUGUGGUCGAUCAAUGCAUUUGAAUGAGGACAUAUGGUUGGGAACCCCCGUUUUGAAUAUGACAGGUCCCGCGCCUGUUCAAUAAGCAGUACAAUGAUGUUAUUAGAAUUAUUUGGCCAUAAAUUUCUGUAUUUGGGGAUAAUAAGCCUACUGAACUGAUUUCUUGUAGACUAAUAUAAAAAUUCAGAGAUGGAAAAUGAUUGCAAGAGACAACCAUCGAACAGAGACCUAAUGGCCUAGAUUUAAGCAACUUUAGGUCACUAGUCUUCAACAAUGAGAAACAGUAAUUACUCGAUGCAGAAUUAAGUGCAUUUGAAAGUUUAUAUAUAUAUAUAUAUAUUUACUACAACAAUUCAAAAUGCAUGUUUCCCAUUUUAUGUAAAAGUCUGUUUUAGAUGUAUUAAAUAAACUACUUCAAUUGUGUUUUAUACUUUUUUGUAAAUAAAGCACUAUGUUACAUUAAAUACUAUUGAUUUUUAUAUGUGAUAUUUCAUUCAUGAUAAUGUGUGAAUGAAAUACUUAAUGAAUAUUAAUAGUUGUAUCGUGACUCACCUACUAAUUUAUUAAUGACCAGUAAUAAUGAUGAUGCAGUUAAGAGUAAUUAUUUCAUUUUUUUUUUUUUUACAUGUAUCACUUGAAAGUGUCAAGUGAAGUGAAUACUUGCUGUUAUUCAUUGUUAAUGGAAUGUUUCACCAUCCUUUUCAAAAUACAAGAAAUAUACAAUUUCCAUAGAGGCAAAUUAAAAAAUUGCAUUGAGUGGUUUCUUUCUGAGUUAAUGUAUUGGUUUCAGUAAUUCUAAAAUAUUAAAUUAAAAAUCAUAUUUUUAACCAAUGAUAACUGAACACAUUAUUUAUGCAUUUGUAAAAUUGAAAUCAAUAUGGAAUCAACUGCUUGUCUUAUUUGUUACUUUUUAUUCUGUUCAUGGAAAUUUUGGUUUCUUAUGAAAAAAUUGCUACUUUAUCUAGCUUAAUACAAGUGGAAAUAUAAAAUGCGGAAAAAGAUUCUUAAAUAAUGAGGACAAUAAAUUUUUUCAAUUUUUGACCCUUUUUCCAACAUAUUUAUAUGGUACAUGUACUGUAAUAUUCCUAAACUAAAAGACAGAACAUUAAGGAUAAUAAGAUUGACAGAAAAUAGUGUGAGUUAAGGCAUGACUGUUAAUUAAUUUAUGAGUGCAAUUUUAAAACAAUAUGAAUUAUUAGACAUAUUAUGAGUCUUACUAAAAAAAAUGUAAAGGAUCAUCUCAAAUUUUCAGCAAGUUUUUCUAUAAUUCCUUUGACCUUUGUCCAUGUCAGUUAAUUUGUCUUAAUGUAAUAUAAACUGGAUUCACUAGGUAUAAUGAUAAUAGCUAGGUGCAAGUACACUUAAUGAAUUAAUCUGGAUUGAUUGGAGGGAGAAUGUUUAUACUACUGUAGCUUGGCACUAAUUUUUCCUGUAUGUCCCCAGGGGACAAAUAAAUGUGAGGCGACUAGAAGGGAAAUUAUUUUGUUUCCUGUAUAAAUAUGAUAUAUAAUGUAAAGCUGUACAUAUUAUCUUCUCUGAGACAAUUAUAUUACUUAAAAGCAUGAUUCAUAAAUAUGUAUUAAAACUGUCUGUUCCAAUAAAAAAUAAAUUUAUUCAUCAUUGUGUUGUAUGAAUAUAAAGUCAUUUGUCUCCUAUGGCAGAUCUCAUCAUAUAAACUACUUUAUAAAAUUUUCUGUUUAACUUUUAGCAUUGGAAGUCAUUCAUACGAACUGUGUAAAUUUUGUUUUUAAAGAUAUCAGGGCUUUUGAAAAAGCAACAUUUUUCUAUUAAAGACAUAAAGUUCUUAAGAAAUUGCCAUUUUAUUGUAAAUUGAUUGGCUUAUUAAAUAGCUGACUUUUCUAAAGAAUGCACAGAUAUUGUGAUAGAAAAUUUUAUACAAAUCACUUUGUGUCUUUGAAAAGGAAACAUCCAUACAAACAAAAAUAUACAUUUGAAAAAGUCAUAUAAAUUCUUGACAAAUUACUUGCCAUACAUAUAUAAAAUGAUCUUGGCUAAUUUAUGCUGACAUUUAUAUGUACUUCUAGGUUUUAAUAUUCCAUUGAGAAAAGUUUGUAAUUGAAUAUUUUAACACAGUAGAUAAAGGAUUUUAGUUUAUAGAAUUUGUUUCCCACCAAACUUGGUUUGUUCAAUGAAUGCAUAAAACUCAUGAUGUUAAAUUUAAUAGUUACAUGGGAAAAAAAUAACUAAAUGUGUAGCAAUAAACAUGCUUAACUGUAUGAUAAAUUAUAAUACAUGGUGGUAGUGAGUCGCAUAUCACAUAAGAACAUUUGCUUCUUCCCAAAGGGUUUUCAGGGGGGGGGGGGGGGAUGAUAGAAUUUAGCUAGCUGACCGCUCUUGUCAUCUAAAAGCAAAAUGAAAUAAUAUUUAAUUUAGUAUGGACUAAAGUACUUAAUUUAAGAUACCAAAUAACUUGGUAAGACAUGCAUUGAAUAAAAACAGUACUGAUGUACUUUAACUGAAUUCUGAGUCCUUAUAAAAUAUAAAAAUGAGUUAGAACUAGAUUAAACAAGUUUGGUACCUAAGAAAGUGAACCCCCCUUUAAGUACCCUUGCCACUGUAUCUAAUAAAAUAUUGGUCAAGUGUUUACAUAUCAUUGUUAAGAUAUAGGUCAUGAAAGCUAUCAGUGAUCAUAGGACUAUAGAGAAACAUUGAACAUCAUUUUUACAUCACAAAUCAAUACAUAAUCCUUUUAUUCUAUCAUCAGUAUUGACUUACUGCUUUUUAUGGAAAAUUGACCAAAAAAAGGAUGAGUUUUCCCUGAUGACACAAUUUUUUGUGUGAGGCAAAUAUUUUAGUGUAACCUGAUCCCUGUUUCAUUAUAGUGAACUGGAACCAGAGAUUGACACCAAUGGACUCUAAGCUUGAUUGGUCUGAAGGAAGAAUUAAGGUGAAGGAAAAUGAACUUGACUUGGUAUCAGCCACCAUAAUCAAGUGUUUCCUGUGUUUGAGAAGGGGUGUUACAGAAUGGCUGUCCAAGGUAUGGAAAAAUUUUAAUCUACAAUUGUGUGUUAAUGUCUCACUCAGACAGAUGUAUGAUAGGAGGGGGCAGGUGUUAGACAAGCCUCCAAACAAUAGGGAGAGUUAUACAUAUAAUUCUAGCAUCAUCAGGACUCACUUGACUUUUAUUCUCAGGUAAAAUAUACACUGUUAUGUAUAUGUAAAAUAUGUAUACUGUUCUGAGUCAAAUAUCUUUUUGAAUUAAGAGGAGUUUUUAGGCAAAUUUUUGUUGUUAUAUUUGUUUGCCUUCUUGGGUUUGGGUUAACAAUAUUAAUCUGACAUUUAGAUUUUGUGUUGAGUGAUUUUCAAACAUAAACCUUGUUUGCCUAAAUUGUAUUUUGCCUAUUUUCUUUUUUUUUAAUAAAUGAUAAAUUGAAAAAAAAUUAUCAGAAAUAUGACAGAUCAAAUUUUGUAGUUGAUGACUGAUGCAGCUUAUAAUUGCUGUUUGUAUUAACAUAUUCUUAUAUUUAGUCUUUGUAUGGAAGUAAAGUUUGAUCCAAGAAAGUUCAUAAUCUUACUAAAACUCAGUUUGUAGGUUAAAUAAAUUCAUAAUCACAUGACUGAAUUGACCUUGACUUUAACAAUUGUCAUACCUAAAACCCUUACUUCAACUUUGUCUGAGAAAUCUCUGAAAAGGCAAAUUAUGCAGCCAUAAAUUAAAUUUUUUGUUUUGAAAAAAAAUAAAAUCGUAAAAUCAUAAAAAUCUGGUUGUGACAAUUCUCAACUGCAAUUGCAUUUGUUCAAGUAGUAUUUAAAUUGUGGUGACAGUUUUAAGGACAUCUAAAUAUAGUAUAUUAUAAUAUGAUAAACAGGAUGGGUUUUUGUGAAUGAUAGCCGAUUUCAUUGAUAAGUGAUUUCCUUCCUAUAAACUCCUACAAUUAUGUAUUACUCAUGAUUAUAAUGAUCAGUAAUUGACCUUCCAUAAAUUUCUCAUAUAAUUUGCUUUAUUCAUACAUGUUAACAUUGUAUGUGAAUGUCAACGAGUCUUAGUCUAUUUUAUCUUGUUAAUUAUAGAUUUAUUACUUUUUCAUAUUUAUAGUCUUUUAACCUUUAGGUUGUCAUACUUUCCUAAACAUUUGACAGUUCAAAUCCCCUUGUAAACUGUUGAACAUAACAUACAGUAUCACAGGAACUAUAGAACUGAUAUCUACUUAAGAGUUACUUCUCUUACUAUUUAAAUGCAUGGUCACUAUUCAUAUUAUCUUGUAGGAAUUAAUUAAAAUAAAUAAAUGAAUGUGAAAGUAAGAUUUAAUGAUGGCUGGAGGGUGCAUAUUUACAUGAGCAUAAAACACUGCAAACAUUAAAUUGUAAAAUGAAAAUUGAAAAAUUGAAAAUAACUAGUUGUGCAGUAAUUUAACAUCAUUAGAUUUUAAAAAAACCCUUUCAAAAAACAAGUGUUUAUGAGAAUUAAAAUUAUUAACUGUAUUCUCAAUUAAAUUUCAGAAUUUUAAAGACAAGUAAAUAUAUUUGAUUUUAAGUUGCAAGGAAUCGUCAGGAAGGGAGAUAACUCACAAAAGGAUAACACAUAUUGUAUGUAUCUGAUUACAUUGAUAAAAAAAACCAAACGUAAUAAUGACCUAUAUUUAAUGAAACAUUAUCAUUUUGAAAAAAAGAAGAAACCUGAAGGAGAAAAAGAUAAAAACUGUCAUAUAUUUUAGCUGUAAAUUUCCAUUCAAAUGUUGUACUUAUGAAAUAGUCUGUAAGAGUACAGUGACGAUUUUUUUUUUCUACUUACAGUGUAUGAACUAUUUCCUAUACAAAAUAAUAAUUUUUUUCUCCACUUAGUUUAUGCACCAUUUCCUACAAAAAAAAACAACCAAAAUAGAGUUGCAUAAGGAAAGUGUGUCAAAGAGUGUGUUUUUUUUUUGCUGGUCUUUUGAUCAUUAGAAAGGCCAUUAAGACUGGAUGUCUCUGUAAUUUGACAGUGAAAUUUGUCUUACAAUAGUUAUAAGUAGUAAUUUCCUGCAGCCAAAGGUGAACGCAUUGAGUGUAGAUUUUAUAUAGUGCAAGCAAAAGUCAUUUGCAUGUAUUAAACUUGCAUUAUACACAUGUAAUCACCUCAUGUCUUCAGUUGAAUUAUUUGUAAAUAAGAAACUUGAUUUUCUCCCAUGAAAAGAUAGUAUAAACAUUUAAUCAAUGUGAACAUGAAUUCUAUGCAUGACCUGAAGGCUAAAAUAAAAUUUGACCUAGUAGCCUUUAUCUGUUGAUGGACUUGACAAACAGCCAAAAAAUGAUGGAGGGCGAUCUUUUAGAAAUUACAAAAAUUAAGAAAAAGAAAAAAAAAAGUUUUAUUUUCUGUAAAAAAAUAUAAGACGUUUUCUGAAAGUAAAAUUUUUCCUCCCUCACAAAGUACUUGACCUAGAUUUCAUCCUAUAGCUGUCAUAGUGAGCCUGUUCAUUGAUUUACUAUGUUGAGAAUUCCUUUCUAUUAAUAGAACAGCUUGAGUUGUGUCUGUUACAGAGGAAAUCCUCACCCUGGGAGAUCUAACCCACAAGUAAGAUAAUACUACUGUUUUUAUGAAUGAAUUGCUGUAUUUUGUACUUUAUCUUUUUUUCAUUGAUAAAAGAAUCAUUCAAGUUUUAGACCGAAAAUCGAUUUGUUUGUGACUGAAGAUGAACGUAUCUUGUGUAAACCGAACUUGAAUAUUUUAUUUGAGAACUUGCGAUCUUUUAAUAUUUGAUCUUUUAAUAUUUUUAUCAUACCAUAAUUGUAAAGUAAAUAUUUGCGAUUCAAUUUAAAUAUUGGAAUUUUGACUAUUACCUAUUCAAUAUAUUAAUAUUGGUUAAUGUGCAGUACAAGGUAAGAAACAUACUUUAAUACAUUUAUAAUCCAUAAACUUUCAUGUAAUAGAAAUGAAUUAACAGAGAUGAAAAUGGAGGUUGCAACCCAGCAACACAACAGAAUCAGAAUAAAUAUCUAGAGGGUAACAUAUGGUUUUCAACAAUACACAAGUAUUUACCAUAUGCUAAGCUUCAGCAUCGUCCUGGGUGAAGAGUCUAGACAAUUUUUAAUAAAAUGGAUAGAGACUACCAAAUUUCAUUCAUUAACACAAGUUGGUAUUACAUUUUAGAAGAACAUGUUAUUUUAUUUUUUUAAUGUUUAACAUUUAAUUUUAUAUUUUCAAUUUGAAUUAUUUGCUGCUGAAAAAGACAAGGAAAGAGGCAAUUUGUACAUCCAAGCAUAUCUCACAUUUGUCAUGUUUGAUUUACUAAAUUUGCUAAUUUUUUACACAAUGUAAGGGUUGAGGAAAUUUUUUUUUUUUAAUCUCUUUUUAAAGAAUUUUAAACUUGGCACUUCAGAGAUUUUUUUUGCUUAUCCUGAAAAUUAUAGAUUGCCCUUUUAAACUGAACUAUAACUAAAUUUGAUGUUAACAUGGUACCACGAAAAGGACAGUUUUAUGGUUGCUUGGGAAAAGAUAUGUAAUGUUUUUUAGUAUCAAAACCACAAAAUAUUUCUGACUGAAUAUUUUUGAUCCUUUAUUGCUAAGCAUAGUAUAUAAAAAAUAUUUUUGAUAAAUGACUUUAAUAAAUUGCCCAAAAAAAUAAGUUAACCCAUUCAUGUUUAGUUGUAUCUUCUGGCUACUGUAUUUGUCACUGAAUUUUCAUAAAAUUUUAUCAUCUAAAAGAGGGAUUGGUUAGAACAAUAUAAGAAUAAUGGUUAUGUCAACAGGAAUAUGAACCAGUUAUACGCUCUGUCUGGCCUUCAUAUGUACCAACUGUUACGAGGGGAAUUGUUGGAUUAAUUCUACUUGAUAUUUCUAUAAGAAAAAAAAAAAUCCAACUAUUAAGUGUUAUUUUCAAAAAAUAAAUUUAAGGUCAACCGACUAGAAGAUUAAGCUUGGUCAUCAGCACUUAUUAUUUGUACCACCAAUGUUUGUAAUAACAACUGUCUGUCCGUCAAUCGUGAUUUUUAUACAAACUUAUUCUGCAAAUCUGUGAAACCAGAACAUAGAUUUCUAAAAGUUGGUCUCUCUCACCCUUAGGGUAUAUAGAGUAUGUAUGUAGUUUUAGAAAAACGGCUGCCAUUUAUUUAAAUAGGUCGUAAGGUUUAUCUAUGGGAAUGUCAAAGGCGUUAAAUCAUUCUAAAUGUUAAUUUUCAAUGGUUAUUCUAAUACAUAAAAAUUUAAGUGUGGCAGAGGCAUAAUUGGUUGCAGCUAAAAUUAACCUGUUAGGAGAAUCAUAUCAUUGGCUUUAUACUAGCCAUAGGAAUGAUAGGACCUAAAAAGAUUCAUGAAAAAACAUGUGUUCUAUAAAUGCAGAAAUUAUUGAGAAUUUUGACGAAUGGUCUAAAAUGCUAGAUUAGUUAUUGCGAUUUCAGUAAAAUCUGUAUACAGUUAUAUGUAUCAGAUGUAAUCAGAAUGCAAGUUUUUAUUAUUUCAAUACUUUUUCAUUAUUUGACUAUUAAAUACCUGGCAAUAAUUUUUGAAUUUACAGUGCUCCUUUACUGUCAGCAGCCUAGUAGAUAUGGAACUGGCAUUUAUUGUAUACUUCUUAAAUGUCAGUAGUUACACAUUAGAUAAUUGUAUAAUGAGUAGUUACACAUAAGAUCUGGGUGUAAUUAUGAUUCAAUGAAUAUUGUCCUAAAGUAACCUAAUGAACUUUUAAAAUUGAUGUAGAAAUGAAUGUUCAUCUUUUGGGGCGCAUUGACCUGCUUUUCAGGUGCCAAAUGAUCAGUACAUGUAUAGCCCUACUUGAGUCAAGUACCAGAUUAUUCCAAGAAUACUUAUUUUCUACUUUGAUAUUCAGAGUUCUGCAUCUUGAUAAAUGUACUAUAGACUAAAUUAGUAUAAAGUAUAUUUAUAAUAAUUUCUUAAUUAUAAGUUUUCCAAGUGGUGUAAUUAGAAUAUAGGCUACAAUUGAGUCUUAAGAAACUGUUGAGUAAUUCAUUGCGUUUUUAUAAUCUAAGACUUGUUCUUGAAUUAAUUAGAUAACUAAUACCCAUGAAAAAUAACAUUUUUUAUGUUCACAAAGGCGUAAAAAGUGUUUGGUAACUCAUAUAAAUAUUAUAUUAUGACGCCUACUGGAAUAAAAUCAUCAUUCAUAGUAGGUAUAGAAAAUAAAUCUAUAAUUUUCUACUACCUUUAAUGACUAAGCAAAUAUAUGUACAAGUUAUAAUGGAGAAAUUAUAUCAUUUUACUUAAAUAUGUCAUCUAACAAAAUUUCAAUAGUGAUAUCUGAUGUUAAUAAUAGAUAAAACUAUGUCAUGUCAUCCAUUAGAUUGUACCUUAUAAUGAUUGAGUCUUUCUACAUGUAAAUGUUUGAAUUCAAAAUCAGGUGAUACCUAUGGAAGAUGUCUUUCAGUUUUGUCCCAAUACCAAAUUAAUUUACUAAGCUGUCCUAUUUGUUUGUAUAUUGUUCAUGUUGGUUAUCUUAGUUUCUAAAGUACAUGUAUGCUUUGACUAUAAUGAAUUUGGUAUUGUCUGAAGAUUUCCUUGCAUCCUAUUCAUAUGAGCUCUUUAUCUUUUCUUGGUAUCUGCUGCUGUUCCAUGCAUUAUGAGCACCUUGAUUCUCAGAUAUGCUGAAGUGAAUGGGACAAGUAGAUAUGUAUCCCAAUCCUUGGACUUUGUUGACAGGUCCACUAUAAAACCAAAUUUAAAUAAGAAUUACUCCUCAUACUAUAAGCAAUCACAAUUUUUGUAGUAGAUUUGAUGUUGUUAAAGAAAUAAUUCCACUUCAAGAGGUAGAUUGACAUGAAAGUUGGUUUUGAGAUACUGACUGAUUGUUGUUACUCUGGUUCUGAUUAGCUAAAAAAAAAAAAGGUGCACAGGCCUUUUUUUUUAACCCUUUCACCGUAGGUCUAGUUGUCUACUUCUGUCUGUCUGUUUUCAAAAAUUUGUUGCACAUUUACUCUGUCAGUAACUUCAAAUCAGUUACUUGAAAUAUGUUAUCAUGCUUCUUGUGAGCAUGUUAUAUUAUAUAAAGCUUUUUCACAUCUAUCUCUCGUCAACUUCAUGUUAAAUGAAUACUCUUGCCUUUUUACAAAUGUCCAUAUAUGAAAUUUUUCUCUACAUUUCCUGAGGAUAUACAAACUAGUUCUUCCUUAAAUUUUAUAUCAUGAUCUUCAUGUUAGUAUGCUUUUCUCAAGAACUACAAUUCAACCUUUCUGAAUUUGGUAUCACGCUUCAUCUAAGCAUGCUAAAGUGUAAGAUGCUUUUUCACAUCCUUUGAUGAUGAACUUCCUGUUAAAAAGAAUUUUUACCUGUAGAUAUUUUUACACAUGGGUCAUGCAUGCAUUUUAGUCACUUUUUUGUCAGGAAAUGCACAUCAUGCAUGAGCUUCCUGAUAUGAGGAAUCAAACUUCAUUUGAUACAGAGUGAUGUGUUUUCAAGUGAAAUGCUCAUCAACUUCCUGUUUUCUGAAUACUUAUAGCAGUGAGUAACUUGAGUAAGCAGUAGCUCAUAAUACAUCUUGUUUACCCAAUCAGAUUUGUUAGGAAAGAAUAAAUAUCCAAUCAUAAGAACUGUGCAAAAAGGUUCCUCAGGAUGUACUUAAUAAGUAAUUUUACACGUUUAUCACCUGACCAAUAUGAACAUUUCAUUGGAUAAAUAGGGCAAGAAAUAUUUGUAUUUAAUAAAAAGAAGCAAUAAUUAUUAGUUACCAUUAACCAGGAUUGAUUUUAUAGAUGUAAUUUUUGAAUAUAGUGCUAUGUAAGAAAUGUAAGAUAAACUAUUUAUAACCUUCUUUAUCAAGUUCUAGAUAAGUUUAUGGUUCUUGAAAGAUUUUGCACAACUGAACCAUUCAAUCUAAGCUUUUCAAAUUUUAAUAUGUUGAUACUGAUGACAAAAUGGAGGUCAAAUUUGAUAUUGACCUUUUUCACUUUCACCAUUCAUCAGUAAUGGUUCUUGCGAUAUUGCCAGGACACAAAUAAAUAUUAAUAAAUCCGGUUUGCUGUCGUUGUGACAGCCUCUUGUUGUGUUAUAGACUAUAUUUAUCAAAAUGUUUUGAAAUGUUAUUGUGGCAUACCAAAUUUGACUUGUAUCAAAUGAUAAAUUGCCAUGAGCAACACGACAGAGGCCACUAUUGUAGCAGGAACUGAUCACUCUCCUGGAGCACCUGUUGUCAUCACGAUGCAUGGAGGAGUUUAUAUUGCUCCUUCUCUUUAGUUUGUGAUUGUUGUUUGUAUUUUGGCCAUGCUGACGAUGCUGUUGCCAUUUUUUUCUUUGACUUGUGGUUUUGAUUGGCUCCUUGGUGUUGUCUCCCCUUUUAAAACAUUUAAGUAAAAUAUCAUACAUGUUCUUGAUGUUGGAGGGGAAGUAAUAUAACACAAUAAAUAUCAUAUAGAUGUUGUCCAGUAUUUUAAACAAAGUAAGCAGUACUAAGAUUUGGCAAACUAUCAGUCAUUUGGAGAAAAUUGAAAUUUAUAAAGCUGCUAACUUGUUUAUCAUAUAUGUUUCAUAUACAGUUUACUCAUGAGAAAGUACAAUAGUUUGGGUGUGAAUGCAUUACGUAUGUCUAAAAACUUUUUGUGUGGGAUAAAUAAUGAUUUAUGUGUACUAUGGUUUACACUUUACAAGUUCGUAUUUUCCUGUACAAAAAAAUCACAAAAUAGAUGUAUAUAAAUUGAAGAAAAGUUUAUUUCAAUUUAAAUGAUUAUUAAAAUUUUCUUCUUCCAGGAAUACAAAAGUUAAACCUAGCUGAACAAUGGCAGUAAGGGUGAUUUGACAACACCUACAAACAGACAGAUAAUCCAAGUGAUAAUGUGGAAUGUUAUUGGUUGGGAAGAAGCCAUGUUGAAGAUUCUUGACAAUCAUAAAAAUCGUAAGUAAAUUAUUUAUUUACCCCUGCUGAUGUUUGAUGGAGAGAAAUACUGCUAUCUAUUUUAAUCCCAGAAGAUAUUGGUAGAUUUAGUACAAGUUGAUGAAAGUAUCUUAAAAUAAUUUUGAUGGCAAAUCCAUGUGAUAACAAAUUGAUUUCCAAACAGGAUGCUAGGAACCUAUUAGAAUUUUAUGAUUUAAGAGAGGUUAUAGAAAGUACAAAAUUGUUAGCAGAUUAGUGUAAAUUUAGAAACAUUUCUACUUCAAUUUUUACAGACUGCUCACAUGAGAAAAUUUAGAAACAUGUUUAUUUAAGAUAUUUUGUUAUAAUAAGAUUUAAGUUGAGUUCAGCAGAUCAAAAUCAAAACUUUAAAAUUAAAGAAGUCAAUGGAAAGAACAAGUAUUAAUUUACAAUUAAAGAGAAUCAUUCUUUUUUGUCUUGAAUGCUUUAUUUUUAUCUGAUGAUGCCAUUUCUAUCAAUCAAGACAUACUUUACAAUAGUACAUAUUGUCAUAAAAUUUCUUGAAAAGUUUGUCAUUCUUAAAGGGACAUUUCCACAAUCAAUGGUCCUUCAAGAACACUUGAAUUAUUAUUAAAAAGUUAUGAAAAUGUAGGAAAAUUUGAAUUUGUCCCAAAAUUUCCUAAUGCCAUGAGUUUAGAAGAAACUGGCUGUAUCAUAAGUGCAAAUCAUUUCUAUGCUAAGCAACCUAUUAAAUGAUAAGGACAUUGGGUUUAGUAUGCAGAUCUUUGUAAAAAAGUUCAUUUAAUAAUCGAGCCUUUGAUUUCAUAUAGUCAAAAAUAUUUUUUUUUGCAUGUACUUUAAAGAUCUGAUGGUUAUGAAGCCAGAAGUUCAAUAUCCUGCCAUAUGACAUUUUUGUACAAUGGGGAGAAACAAAUGUGCUAGGUGUAUAUUAACAAGUUAAGAUCUCCACUUAGAUAAAAUGUUUGCUAUGCUAAUUGGCAUUUUGAAAUCACAGUUCAAUCAUUUGAGAUUAAGACAUAAAUAAUCUUAAGAUGAGACACACCUACACUGUUAAAAUGCUUAGCCAGUUAGUAAUAAGUUCACUAAACCUCAAAUACAUACAUAAAAGUUAACAUAUACCCCAACAUCUUCUUUUAUAUAUACAUAUAAAAGUAAAAUCCAGACAUGAUUCUUUUUUUUAUUAUUUUCGACAUGAGAUUGACUGUAUUUUACAUCUUUUAUCAACAUUAGCCUUUAGCUGACCUUUAUGUGAACCAAGGAUAAGAUGAGGACCUUUUUCUUGUUCAAAUUGAUGUAACAAGUUACUGAAAUAAUCAUUUCUUUAUAUCCUCCCUUGGACAAAGGUCUUUCAGUGACAUUUUUUGGGACAACAUGUCUGAUUUGAUAGGGCCUAUUAAGAGGGAACUAAGAUAAGUCAAUUAUAUUUGGGAGGACAGGAGUAAACUUCCUAAAUGAGAGUGUUGAUGUUGUCCUGUUCAUUUAAUCGGCCAAUUAGAAUCACCAGAUUACAGACAGGGUGAACAAAACCUUAAAGAGAUGAAUAUGGAAUAAUUUUAGUAAAAUUUGAACAUAUGGAGAACAAAACAAAAGUGGUUAUUGAAUUUUGAUUUUAAUGAAAGUGAUAAAAGUGAAGGAAAGCAUAUUCAGUAAUGAGGUAAAGUUAAUUCAAAACCAUAACCAUUUGGGAAUUAAUUAGACCUAAGUUUGUUAUAGAGACACCCACCCCUGUCGAUCUAUAAAUAGAUUAAUUCCCUAUACAUCAAGAGACAAUAAACUCAUACUUUUUAUUUUCGGUAUCAAGAAUCGAUACUAUUUAGAUCCAUUUACAAGUUACUAGGUGGGAAAACAUCAAUAUGGGAAUCAGGGAUGGUUUUAUCACAUCAAAAUUUAUUAUUUUUGUUCUAAAUUUUUUAUAUAAAUUUUUCACAAUUCGUGGAUUUACAAUAAUUGGUCUGGACAAGGAUUUAAAUUGUAUGAAUAAAGGGAUACUUCAUAUUUGUCACCUGGGAAUAACUCUUAAUGAGAUAACUAUGUAAAUUAUUUUCGGACAUUCUGGGAGAUAAUUGUCUUGUAAAUUGUUUGACCCUUAGCCUCUAACACCAGUAGACUAUGUGUGUGGUAACUGCAGUGUCUGGAUCUGAGGCCAAGGCAUACACAAUUCUUUGGUUAUCACACUAUAGAUUAUAACAGUAGACACGCUCUUACUUCAUUACUUUUAAGAUGAAUACUUUGAAAUUUAAUCUUGAUAAUUAUCAUUUAAAAAUAUUUUGAAGGCUUUUUGGCAAUAUUUCAGUAUAUAUGUUCAAAGAAAAUUAUACAUAUUUCAGUUGUUCAAAUAUUUGAUUUAUAAGAGAACUAAGCUCAUAGUACAAGUUAUGUAUUGCCAGUUAUUACUUGUCUUUUAAACAACAAUUAAAAAAGAAGGGAUUUCUUUAGUUUAGUAUGACGUGUGGUUUAUCAUCAUGUCCCAACUUAUGCUGAGAUGUCUAAGCAGUUAUCCAGUUUUUACUGAAUGAAAAUGUGGUAGAAGUCACUGUUUUGAAUUUUGAAUAAAUUUUGAAAGCUCCAAAAGCAGGAAACAAUUUAGAGUUGAUUUCUGUCUAAUCUAACCAUGUAUCUUUGAUAAAUCGACAUUAACUUUUCUACCUUGUUUGGACCUGCAUUCCAUCAAAACUUAGCUCUAGAAUCUUGAAGAGUGAGAUUGUACUGUUUAAGUUUUUUAAAUAUAGCUAAAAAAAAAGUUAAUUUUUACUGCUGGUUGGUUUAUCUGUUCUUUUUCAUAUCUGAACAAAAAGUACUUUUUUGACACUCCACAUUUUUUUGAGGACCAAGAUUUAGUUAGUGCUGUGACAGAAAUUUAUCUAUGAGAACAUUCAAAGCAUUGUUAAGACAAGUGCAGGUUAAUAAUAAUGAUUAUGCAGCUAUAACAAGUAACAAUUACAUUGCAUACAAUAUCUUCUUAUUUGAGUGAAUUUAAAGUGUUGAAAAAGCAUUGAAUUAGAUAAAAUUAUAAAUGCUAAUUUAGAAGUUGAAGUUGUCCCACCACUGGACAACCCAACAAAUUUAAGGAUAUUUUAGAGUUUAGAAUUUCUAAAAGCAAGAAAUCAUGAUCAAAGAAUGUUUACUCAAGCUAAUGUUGAACAUGACAUUUUAAGUUGAAUUAUGGUGGUAUUCACAAAGACAUACUGCAGAGGGCCAUCUUUGUGUGACAUUUAAGACAGAGAUGAAUUAUUUUGAAAGAUUUUGUUUCUGGACAUCUUUGCCCAGACACAAAAGUUUUGUGAUAUAAUUUACAAUGAAUUAUGAAGCAAUCGUCUGCAUAUUACUCAAUUUUCUGCAGUAAAUCAUUGAUUUUGUAAAGAGAUGUUUGCCUUUCCUAGAAAAGAGAAGAUUAGAAUAUGUAAAUUUGUUGUGAGGAUGCCAAGAGAACAUAUGAUUAUUAAUUUGAUAAUGUAUAAGUGUAAAAUGUAGGAGAAUUUGAAAACUUUAUCGGAACAUCAAUAUUGUCUGUUAUUUGUAUCGGAGGAUAAACAUGAUUAUAAUCUUGUUCUUUUUUUAUCCACAAAAAAAAUCGAGAAGAAAUAUUGAUUGUGUUAAUGUUUUUAUACACUGAAAGUGAAUCUGAUCUUUUAUGUUUAUAAAGAAAUUUGAUCGCUUAACAUUUUAUUUCAUCCUUAAGGCAGAGGAAUCAAUGAUAAAAUGUCACAAGUAAAAGUUAUCUGUAAAAGACGAGAAUGUCAUAAGUAAAAAUUAUCUGUAAAGACUGGGAACAUUUCUUGUAUCCAUAUCUUGCUUUGUAGGAAAUGUACUCUAAAUCUGGUUGAAGAUGAACAACAUUUUAUAACUAGUUGUCCAUCAUACAAAAAUGAUAGGGAGAUAUUUUUCAAGGAGAUAAACUGUAUUUGUCCUAAUUUUAUACAUCUUUCAAAUGAGGCAAAAUUUGUUUCGUUAUUUACUAAUGAAAAUUUGUCUGUACUUAAAUAUUUAGAGGAGCUACAUUAUUACAUGUCUAGAUGUUAGACGAAAUCUUAAUUAAUGUAUGUAAUAACAAUGAUAAUUGUAAUGAUUUUAUGGUUCUGAUUCUGCCUGGAAUUAAAGGUAUAUGAUUUUUAUAGCAUGAAUAUAAUAACAUCUGUCUGAACUUUUUUUUAAUGUUUCAUUUUAGUUUAUAAAAAUGUUUUUCUGUUACAAAUCAUGAUGUAUUGUUUAUGUGUACAUGUUAUGUAAACUGGUCCGCCGUUCUAUCUAUAGCUUCGCACCGAAGGAACGGGUUGGAGCUAUUGUCACAUCGCAUUAAUUGGAUGAAUCUUACAAAUUCAAACGAUUCGCUAAUAAAAUUGGCCAAUUAAAGUGAUGAAAUGACCUCAAAUUUUAAUACUGCGAUAUGUAAGCCAUUUAUAAGUUUUAAAAGUGUUUGUCAGAUUAUUAACACUGCAAACUUGAGAAUAACCAGCUUUUAUAAAAACAGUUUUUUUUAGAACUCUAGAAAUUGAUAAUGUCUAGUGAAAGGUAGUUUAGUUCAAUAUCAACUUGACAGUUCACUGGACUAAAUAUUGUAAAUGACUACUGAUAGUCUGGUUAAGUCCCAAAGGGUUCAAUAGCCGCUGAAUUUGUACUUGACUUAAUGUUCGAUGAAAAUCCGACAAAAUCUAGAACAAAAGUCCAGUUGAACAGUCCUUGAUUAAGAAAGAUACAAAAUUGUUUUAUAUGUUUUACUUUGAACUCAAAGUAUUGGAUAUAAUCUUAGUAGAAAAGUUUAAAUCAAUGAACGCUAUCUUUUGUUUAGUACAAGUAGGCUAACAUCUAAGCAGUUUUAUCCUCAGUUCUUUCUUUAUUUCUUUUGAAGGAUGAGUUGAAGAAUUGGAAGUUCAUGUUGCACACACACCUAUACAAAAACAGCUUAUGUCUAUAUUAAGAGCAGUCAGAAGCAGAGAAUAUCUAAAGAUAGCCAAAAGAUGUUCUGAAAACAUCAGACACUUGCAGUAUUAAACCAAUUAAUCAUGGUAGGCCUUUUCUAUAGUUAUAAUGUUAACUAGGCAUAACCUAGAAACCAAAAUCAGCAAUCUCCUAACUCACCAAUUUUAUCCAACAAAAUAUCUGGAAUGAAUUAGAGAAAUUAGCACCCAAGAAAGCUGAAAAUUAAGUGACGAUGUAAGAAGAAUGAAAAAAAUUAUCUUAAGGCACUGACAAAACUUAACUUUCUGAAGGCACUGUCUAUAUAGAACAUUCUAUUUUUUUUGAAAUUUUGAAAAUUUGUUUUUGUAUAAAAAUUGUAUGAGAUUUAAUAACAUGUGUUGUUGCAAUCAUUAACCAUGAGAUCGGACUAUACAAGUAUGCUCAGUUUACACCAUUUAGGACG
RNAcentral lists this long non-coding RNA (27896 nucleotides) under Mytilus galloprovincialis (Mediterranean mussel). The record is from RNAcentral. Lineage: Eukaryota; Metazoa; Mollusca; Bivalvia; Mytilida; Mytilidae.